Molecule: ribosomal RNA, 433 nt
Filed under: uncultured bacterium
Lineage: Bacteria
Description: partial 16S ribosomal RNA
Rfam family: Bacterial small subunit ribosomal RNA
Source: RNAcentral
AGCGAACGCUGGCGGCAGGCUUAACACAUGCAAGUCGAGCGGGCCCUUCGGGGUCAGCGGCGGACGGGUGAGUAACGCGUGGGAAUGUGCCUUCUGGUCUGGAAUAACCCUGGGAAACUAGGGCUAAUACCGGAUACGCCCUUUUGGGGAAAGGUUUACUGCCGGAAGAUCGGGCCGCGUCUGAUUAGCUCGUUGGUGGGGUAACGGCCUACCAAGGCGACGAUCAGUAGCUGGUCUGUGAGGUUGAUCAGCCACACUGGGACUGAGACACGGCCCAGACUCCUACGGGAAGCAGCAGUGGGGAAUAUUGGACAAUGGGCGCAAGCCUGAUCCAGCCAUGCCGCGUGAGUGAUGAAGGCCUUAGGGUUGUAAAGCUCUUUUAUCCGGGACGAUAAUGACGGUACCGGAGGAAUAAGCCCCGGCUAACUUCGUG